UUAGUUUAUGACUAUGGAAAUAAUUUUUUAUUUUUAUUUUUAUUUUUAUAAACUUCUUUUUUGUGAGGUAAAUUGCACUCAAACCGCCAGAGCUUUCAGUAUCAAGGUAGUAUCAAUGUAGUGCCAAGAAAUUGCUAAGAUUGGAACAGCCAUCUAACUUAAUUAAUGGCUAAGAUUUUUUUGAAUACGUAUCUGUAGAAUAUAUACACUCACUUAUUGCUCUCAGAUAAAUCUCUAGCUCCUAGUAAUUUGUUUCAUAAUUAAGCUAGGUUCCAUGGCUGCUUCUUCUUCAUCAUCAUCAUCGUCAUCACUGCAUGGAUCUGAAUAUGAUGUGUUCUUAAGUUUUAGAGGGGAAGACACUCGCAAAACCUUUGUGGGUCAUCUCUACACAGCUCUAGACCAGAGAGGAAUUAGGACCUUCAAAGAUGAGGAAAGGCUUGAGAGAGGAAAAUCUAUAUCUUCAGAAAUGGUGAAGAAUAUUAAUGAAUCGAGAAUUGGCGUGAUCGUUUUCUCCAAAAACUAUGCUUCUUCGUCAUGGUGCUUGGAUGAACUGGUGGAGAUCCUUGAGUGCAGGAGGACCAAGGGGCAAAUAGUUUUGCCCAUCUUCUACCAUGUCAAAGCGUCGCGAGUUCGGUACCAGAAGAGGAGUUUUGCGGAAGCAUUUAGACAGCAUGAAGAAAAUUACAAAGAGGACAUGGAAAGGGUUAAGAGAUGGAGGGACGCUUUGAAGGAAGCAGCAAAUCUAAGCGGCUUGGAUUUACAAGAUGCAGCUAAUGGGUAUGAGGAUAAGUUUAUCAAAAAUAUUGUACAAGUGAUUUUAGAAAAAUUGCAACCUAAACCAUUCAGAGUUGCUAAGUACGAAGUGGGUAUCGAUGCACGCGUAGACAAAAUAAUUACAUUGCUAGACGAGGAUCAACUCUUUGUUGGAAUUUGUGGAAUUGGAGGAGCAGGUAAGACCACCGUUGCCAAAGCGGUUUUCAACCGUAAAUCAAAAGAUUUUGAAAGAAGUUGCUUUCUUGAAAAAGUGAGAGAAGAGCUAGCAAAGGAUGGUGGUCUAGCUAAACUACAAACCAAGCUUCUCAGGGAGACCCUAAGGGAUCAAACUAUAACAAUAUCAGAUCCUGAUAGGGGAAUCAAUGAGAUAAAGGAUAGACUUGGUAAUAAAAGGUUUCUUCUAGUGCUUGAUGAUGUAGACGACCAAAAUAUGUUGCAGUACUUCGUUGAACAGGAAUGGUUUUGUAGUGGUAGUAGGAUCAUCCUAACAACUAGAGAUAAACAAUUGUUGGAAAAGUAUAAUGUUAGAACAUACCAUCUUAAGUUAUUAAAUGAGAGUGAAGCGCUACAACUUUUCAGUUGUCAUGCAUUCAAGCGGGAAAAGCCUGAAGAUGAUUAUGAGGAACUUUCACACCGUGCAAAAGAUUAUGCCAAGGGCCUUCCACUUGCUCUCCAAGUUUUGGGUUCUCUUUUAUACAAAAGAGGAAAACAAUAUUGGUCAAGUAUAUUGGAUAAGUUGAAGACCAACCCUCCCAAAGAAAUCAAGGAAAAUGUUUAUCGUGUUUUAAAGAUUAGUUAUGAAGGCCUUAAUGAGGAAGAGAAGGAUAUUUUUCUUGAUAUCGCGUGUUUCUUCAAUGGAUGCCAUAAGAAAUAUGUCAUGAAUGUUUCUAAGUUGCCUGAAUCUGACGUGGCCGUUGGAAUACAAAUUCUUAAUGAGAGGUCCCUCAUUAAUAUGUCAGAAAAAAAUGUGGUGUUAAUGCAUGACUUGAUACAAGAAAUGGGCAGAGGAAUUGUUCGUCAAGAAUCUAAAGAACCUAGAGAACGCAGCAGGUUGUGGUCUUGUGAUGACAUCUGUCAUGUAUUCGCUGAAAAUAUGGUGACAGAAAAAAUCGAAGCUAUUAUGCUACCCAACAAUGGAUUAUCUUUAGAGGGAGGGUUGUAUGUAAGAGCUGAUGCGUUCACAAAGAUGAGGAAGUUACGAAUACUCAAAAUCAAUGGUGUACGGCUUGAUGGGUGCCUUACAGAUCUUUCAAAUGAGUUAAGGUAUCUUGAGUGGGAUGGCUAUCCCCAAGAAUAUUUGCCAUACAAUUUUCAUCCGAAAAGACAUGUUCAACUCCAUUUACCUAAUAGCCUGAUCAAAGGGAUUUGCACGAAUUCAAAAUUUCUAGAGAGGUUGAAAGUCCUUAAUCUCAAUUUUUGCCCAUAUCUGGUAAAUCCUAAUAUUCCAGAGUUUCCUUUUCUGGAGGAAUUGUAUCUCGGAGGCUGUGACAGUUUGGUUGAAGUUGAAUUUGAGGAUGGGAAGGUAAUGUUAUUAUUUAAGGUGCAUUAUGCUUCUCUUUGCCAAUUAUUUUGUUAAGUUGUUUGAAGAUGAUUUAUAUCACAAAUUGACCUCAUAUAUAUUUUACGACAAUUUUUAGAGAAACCCCUAAGUUUUCUUACUAUACAUAUACAAUGUUUGGUGAUUUUCAUUUGUUAUAAGGACUUUUAAAAUUAUCAAGUUUUCUUACUAACAAAGCAAAAACAAACAAAAAACAAAAAUAAAAUGUUUGAUGAUUUUCAUUUUUCAGCAACUUGGUAACAUGACGGAUCAUUGAAACUAAAUUCACCGGGAAAAAAAUUGUCAAGAACCUCCUCGAGGGUACAUUUGGAAAAUUGUCCAAACAAACAAUAAUACUGAUAGCAGCUAUCACUUAUAAAAAAAUAUUAAAUAAGUAAUUAAAAUGGCAUAACAGAUUUAGAUUAUAUACCAAGUAAAUUCAUUACAGAUCUUGCAUGUCAUCAGUACUAUAAGGUGGUUCAGUUUUAUGGAUGAACAGUUCAUUACUAGUUCCAAAAAUAGUUGGUUACUAUUUAGAUGUAAAAAAGAAACAAUGAUAAUACUAAUAAAAAAAAUGAACCAAUAGCGAUUGAGAUGUUCUUUGUACGAGGCAAAUCUUCGUUUUUUUUUUUUUUUUCCUUAGUAAGUUUAAUUCUUUUUUGUUCUCUUGUUUUUAGGUAAAAAAAUGACUUGACAUAAGAAAAAAAUAUAUAUUUUCCUCUUACUGAAUGCCAAUUGAAAUAAACUAAUUAAACAAAUGUCAUUGACCCCAUAUAGUUUCAGUAACUCUCUCGUUCCUUGAGUAUAUUUUUUUUUCUGUAUGUUAUUUUAUUUUAUUUUUUUUAUUUUUCAGAUUGUGAGGGAUGGAUAAGGAAAAGGAAAAAUGUAAAAGAAAAAAUUAAAGGAAACUGAACAUUAUUAUUGAGCUCUCGUGUUUUUAUUUUAUUUUAUUUUUUUAUCAUUUAAUUUUCUAUUUUAGCAGAUUCUAGACAAGUUAAGAAUCAUUUGUCUCGGUUCAGGUCAAAAUUUGAAGAAAACUCCUAAUGUGUCCGGGUUGUCAUGUCUGGAGACAUUAGAUCUUUCGGGCUGUACAAGUUUGACUGAGGUUCACUCGUCCAUUGAAUUUCACGAGAGGCUUGGGAGCUUGGAUUUUCGUUGGUGUAAAAAUCUAAAGAGUCUCACAACAAAAAUUAAUUCGAAAUCUCUCAAAAGUAUAGAUUUUGCUCGGUGCUCAAAACUUGAGUACUUUCCAGAGAUGGAAGGAGAUAUGGAAUGUAUAAAGGUUAUUCGUUUAGAUGGGACUGCACUAAAAGAAUUACCUUCAUCGGUAGUUAAACAUCUCAAAAAGCUUCGUUCUUUGAAUAUGGGCGGCUGCAAAAUGCUUAAAAGCUUGCCGUACAAUAUUGGUGAAAUGGAGAGUUUACAAGAGCUCGUCUUAAAAGGAACUGUAAUAAAAGAUUUACCUCCAUCAGUUGUACGUCUCAAAAGGCUUAGCUGUUUAGAUAUGGGGGACUGCAAAAUGUUUGAAAGUUUGCCAAGCAAUAUUGGUGAAAUGGAGAGUUUACGAGAGCUUGUCUUAAAAGGAACUGUCAUAACAAAUUUACCUCCAUCGGUUGUACAUCUCAACAAGCUUUGUUCGUUAGAUGUAACCGACUGCAUAAUGCUUGAAAAUUUGCCAAGCAAUAUUGGUGAAAUAAAGAGGUUAAAUAAUCUUUGUUUGAGAGGCAGUGGUAUAAAAAAGUUACCAUCAUGGACUAACCAUGGAAAAUUAGAUUGGAGUAACUGCAAUUUAGAUGAUGAAUCCAUUCUUAAUCUUCCUCAGUCAUUGAGGGAUUUGAAUCUAAGCGGGAACAACUUUGUUAGUUUACCAACAAGCUUCACCCAACUUACAAGGCUUGCAUCGCUUAACUUGGAGGAUUGCUUAAGCCUCCAAAAAUUGGAGUCACUUCCAUCAUCUAUACAUUCUGUUUUUGCAAAAGAUUGCGUAUCCUUAGAACGUUAUUCGAUUCCGAAUGGUGCUCGAAUUUCUGAAUUGAAUUUCGUUGAGAGCCACAAAUUGGUUGAGAAUCAUGGGAACAACAAGCCAAAUGUAUACUAUUCAGAAAGUCAACUUCAGGAAAUUGGUGGUUCAGUCCUUCUUCCAGGAAAUGAGAUUCCAAGUUGGUUCAGCCAAAUAAAAUAUGAGAGUAAGAGCGGUGCUGAGGACAUGACUUGUGUGUGUUUGAAGAUAGAUCCAGAUUCUCUCCAUUACCUCAAAGGAGUUUCUGUUUGUGCGGUUUUCAAAAACGAAAUCAAUAAGGAAAAAUCAUUUAACAAGGAUGUAAUUGAUCUCAAAAUCAAUGGUGAUUAUGAAAACUUUUGUGAUAUAUCUGAUCGGAUCUACGGCAUCAAGUCAGAUCACAUAAUAUUGUUUCAUAAUGCAUGUGACCCGUUUAAAAAAAAAUAUUGGAAAUGCAAUGGUGAUGGGUGUUACAUUGAGGCUUCAAUUUGUCGACGAAAUUUCUCCAAUGAACGACCAUUGAAGGUGAAAAAGUGGGGAAUUCAUCCAGUAAUUGAUGCGCACAAACGGAGAUAGAAAAGGUAGCUCAAUUUAUUUUUCUUCAACUUUACUAAUAUUCAACUAGGAUUUGUUCAUUUUCUAAAGUGCCAUUAUGACUUAGUAUCUCUCAUUGCAGAAUUUUUGAAGAUAUUUUUUUUCCUAAUCACUAUUUUUUGCUCAAAAGGUAUAAAUUAUCAAUAAUUCCAAACAAAUACUUGAGAUUUGGCAUGAUUCCUUUAUUGUUAAUUUAUAAAAUCUUCCAAAUCAUUAUUUUUAUAAUACAAAAUUUCGGUUUAUCAUCUCCUUCUUUUUCUUACUAAUUUUAAAUUUAGCACAAAUGAUUUUUUUUUCAAUAUUUGGUUUUGUGUGAUUAUCUUUGUUGGGGGAUACACUAAGUCACAUAAGGCCGGAGCGAAUGCGAUAGUGAGAAAGCGGCAAAGUCUAAAAAUUUUGAGAGCGCCCAUAUAUUUACUUAUAUA
RNA transcript from Cornus florida, 5329 nucleotides. It is a transcript of the gene named disease resistance protein Roq1-like, with no coding region annotated. The record is from RefSeq and is a predicted model, not a curated record. The transcript is spliced from 5 exons. NCBI's taxonomy places the organism in Eukaryota, Viridiplantae, Streptophyta, Magnoliopsida, Cornales, Cornaceae.